GUGCUUAACACAUGCAAGUCGAACGAUGAAGAGCAGCUUGCUGCUUGGAUUAGUGGCGCACGGGUGAGUAAUAUAUAGGUAAUGUGCCUCUUAGUCUGGGAUAGCCAUUGGAAACGAUGAUUAAUACUGGAUACUCCUUCUAACUCUAAUGUUAGUCGGGAAAGUUUUUCGCUAAGAGAUCAGCCUAUAUCCCAUCAGUUAGUUGGUAAGGUAACGGCUUACCAAGGCAAUGACGGGUAGCGGGUUUGAGAGGAUGAUCCGCCACACUGGUACUGAGACACGGACCAGACUCCUACGGGAGGCAGCAGUGAGGAAUAUUGCACAAUGGGGGAAACCCUGAUGCAGCAACGCCGCGUGGAGGAUGACGCAUUUCGGUGUGUAAACUCCUUUUAUAUGUCAAGAAAAUGACGGUAGCAUAUGAAUAAGCACCGGCUAACUCCGUGCCAGCAGCCGCGGUAAUACGGAGGGUGCAAGCGUUACUCGGAAUCACUGGGCGUAAAGGACGCGUAGGCGGAUUGGAAAGUCAGAUGUGAAAUCCUACAGCUUAACUGUAGAACUGCAUUUGAAACUUCUAAUCUAGAGUAUGGGAGGGGGAGAUGGAAUUAGUGGUGUAGGGGUAAAAUCCGUAGAUAUCACUAGGAAUACCGAAAGCGAAGGCGAUCUCCUGGAACAUUACUGACGCUAAGGCGUGAAAGCGUGGGGAGCAAACAGGAUUAGAUACCCUGGUAGUCCACGCCCUAAACGAUGAACACUAGUCGUCGGGAUGCUUGUCAUCUCGGUGAUGCACUUAACAGAUUAAGUGUUCCGCCUGGGGAGUAC
RNAcentral lists this ribosomal RNA (819 nucleotides) under uncultured bacterium. RNAcentral's name for it is "bacterial SSU rRNA". It matches the Rfam family "Bacterial small subunit ribosomal RNA", at positions 44 to 883 of the family's 1533-position model. The record is from RNAcentral.